Molecule: long non-coding RNA, 326 nt
Organism: Oncorhynchus tshawytscha (Chinook salmon)
Lineage: Eukaryota; Metazoa; Chordata; Actinopteri; Salmoniformes; Salmonidae
Source: Ensembl
AGGACUGUGUUUAUAUAGUGGGGUCAGUGUACAGGACUGUGUUUAUAUAGUGGGGUCAGUGUAUAGGACUGUUUAUAUAGUGGGGGUUAGGACUGACUGUGUUUAUAUGGUGGGGUCAGUGUAUAGGACUGUGUUUAUAUAGUGGGGUCAGUGUAUAGGACUGUGUUUAUAUAGUGGGGUCAGUGGGACUGAUUGUGUUUAUAUAGUGGGGUCAGUGUAUAGGACUGUGUUUAUAUAGUGGGGUCAGUGUAUAGGACUGUGUUUAUAUAGUGGGGUCAGUGUAUAGGACUUUGUUUAUAUAGUGGGGUCAGUGUAUAGGACUGUGU